UGAUGAAAGAUUACAGUGCCAUCUCCUUC
Molecule: non-coding RNA, 29 nt
Filed under: Mus musculus (house mouse)
Lineage: Eukaryota; Metazoa; Chordata; Mammalia; Rodentia; Muridae
Source: RNAcentral